GACGAACGCUGGCGGCGUGCCUAAUACAUGCAAGUUGAGCGAUGAAGAUUGGUGCUUGCCCCAAUUUGAAGAGCAGCGAACGGGUGAGUAACGCGUGGGGAAUCUGCCUUUGAGCGGGGGACAACAUUUGGAAACGAAUGCUAAUACCGCAUAACAACUUUAAACAUAAGUUUUAAGUUUGAAAGAUGCAAUUGCAUCACUCAAAGAUGAUCCCGCGUUGUAUUAGCUAGUUGGUGAGGUAAAGGCUCACCAAGGCGAUGAUACAUAGCCGACCUGAGAGGGUGAUCGGCCACAGUGGGACUGAGACACGGCCCAAACUCCUACGGGAGGCAGCAGGAGGGAAUCUUCGGCAAUGGACGAAAGUCUGACCGAGCAACGCCGCGUGAGUGAAGAAGGUUUUCGGAUCGUAAAACUCUGUUGGUAGAGAAGAACGUUGGUGAGAGUGGAAAGCUCAUCAAGUGACGGUAACUACCCAGAAAGGGACGGCUAACUACGUG
This 497-nucleotide ribosomal RNA is filed under the name uncultured bacterium. RNAcentral describes it as "partial 16S ribosomal RNA". It matches the Rfam family "Bacterial small subunit ribosomal RNA", at positions 28 to 507 of the family's 1533-position model. The record is from RNAcentral.